This 439-nucleotide ribosomal RNA is filed under the name uncultured bacterium. RNAcentral describes it as "partial 16S ribosomal RNA". It matches the Rfam family "Bacterial small subunit ribosomal RNA", at positions 338 to 795 of the family's 1533-position model. The record is from RNAcentral.
CCUACGGGAGGCAGCAGUGGGGAAUCUUGCACAAUGGGGGAAACCCUGAUGCAGCGACGCCGCGUGAGUGAAGAAGUAUCUCGGUAUGUAAAGCUCUAUCAGCAGGGAAGAAAAUGACGGUACCUGACUAAGAAGCCCCGGCUAACUACGUGCCAGCAGCCGCGGUAAUACUUAGGGGGCAAGGGUUAUCCUGAUUUACUGGGGGUAAAGGGAGCGUAGACGGUGCAGAAAUUCUGAGGGGAAAGGUCGGGGCACAACCCGGGACUGCAGUGGAAACUGGUUGACUGGAGUACAGGAGAGGGAAGCGGAAUUCCUGGUGUAGCGGUGAAAUGCGUAGAUAUUAGGAGGAACACCAGUGGCGAAGGCGGCUUACUGGACUGUAACUGACGUUGAGGCUCGAAAGCGUGGGGAGCAAACAGGAUUAGAUACCCGGGUAGUC